RNAcentral lists this ribosomal RNA (614 nucleotides) under Corticiaceae sp. Its description in RNAcentral is "partial 28S ribosomal RNA". It matches the Rfam family "Eukaryotic large subunit ribosomal RNA", at positions 1 to 623 of the family's 3401-position model. The record is from RNAcentral. Lineage: Eukaryota; Fungi; Basidiomycota; Agaricomycetes; Corticiales; Corticiaceae.
GACCUCAAAUCAGGUAGGACUACCCGCUGAACUUAAGCAUAUCAAUAAGCGGAGGAAAAGAAACUAACAAGGAUUCCCCUAGUAACUGCGAGUGAAGCGGGAAAAGCUCAAAUUUAAAAUCUGGCAGUUCUGCUGUCCGAGUUGUAGUCUGGAGAAGUGUUUUCCGUGCUGGACCGUGUAAAAGUCUCUUGGAACAGAGCAUCAUAGAGGGUGAGAAUCCCGUCUUUGACAUGGCCCACCACUGCUUUGUGAUGCACUCUCAAAGAGUCGCGUUGUUUGGGAAUGCAGCGCACAAUGGGUGGUAUAUUCCAUCUAAAGCUAAAUAUUGGCGAGAGACCGAUAGCGAACAAGUACCGUGAGGGAAAGAUGAAAAGCACUUUGGAAAGAGAGUUAAACAGUACGUGAAAUUGUUGAAAGGGAAACGCUUGAAGUCAGUCGCAUCUGUUGGGACUCAGCCUUGCAUUUUUGCUUGGUGUAUUUCCUGGUGGAUGGGCCAGCAUCGAUUUUGACCGUUGGAUAAAGUUCGAGGGAAUGUGGCACCUUUGGGUGUGUUAUAGCCCUUGUCCGCAUGCAACGGUUGGGAUCGAGGUUUGCAGCACGCCUUUUUGGCCGGG